This 253-nucleotide ribosomal RNA is filed under the name uncultured bacterium. RNAcentral describes it as "partial 16S ribosomal RNA". It matches the Rfam family "Bacterial small subunit ribosomal RNA", at positions 524 to 775 of the family's 1533-position model. The record is from RNAcentral.
GACGUAGGGCGCGAGCGUUGUCCGGAUUUAUUGGGCGUAAAGAGCUCGUAGGCGGCUCGUUGCGUCGGCUGUGAAAACCCGCAGCUCAACUGUGGGCUUGCAGCCGAUACGGGCGGGCUGGAGUUCGGUAGGGGAGACUGGAAUUCCUGGUGUAGCGGUGAAAUGCGCAGAUAUCAGGAGGAACACCGGUGGCGAAGGCGGGUCUCUGGGCUGACACUGACGCUCGAUGCACGAAAGCGUGGGGAGCAACAGG